GACGAACGCUGGCGGCGUGCUUAACACAUGCAAGUCGAACGGAAAGGCCCUGCUCUUGUGGGGUGCUCGAGUGGCGAACGGGUGAGUAUCACGCGAGUAUCCUGCCCUUGACUUUGGGAUAACUUCAGGAAACUGGGGCUAAUAUCGGAUAGGAGCUCCUGCAGCAUGGUGGGGGUUGGAAAGUUUCGGCGGUUGGGGAUGGGCUCGCGGCUUAUCAGCUUGUUGGUGGGGUAGUGGCGUACCAAGGCUUUGACGGGUAGCCGGCCUGAGAGGGUGACCGGCCACAAUAGGACUGAGGUACGGCGCAGACUCCAACGGGAGGCAACAGGGGAGAGUAUUACACAGUAAGCGGAAGCCUGAUACGACAGCGCCGCGUGCGGAAUGACGGCCUUCGGGUUAAAAACCGCUUUCGCCUGUGACGAAGCGUGAGUGACGGUAAUGAGUAAAGAAGCACCGGCUAACUACGUG
This 468-nucleotide ribosomal RNA is filed under the name uncultured bacterium. RNAcentral's name for it is "partial 16S ribosomal RNA". It matches the Rfam family "Bacterial small subunit ribosomal RNA", at positions 28 to 507 of the family's 1533-position model. The record is from RNAcentral.